This is a non-coding RNA of Notechis scutatus (mainland tiger snake), 271 nucleotides long. The record is from RefSeq and is a predicted model, not a curated record. Lineage: Eukaryota; Metazoa; Chordata; Lepidosauria; Squamata; Elapidae.
UUUGUUGCCCUGCACAGGAGAACGGAGCUGGAAAGCAGGCCACUCCAUUCCAGAUUUCCAUCCAGUUUCUGUCCAGACAGACCAGCUGUUGGAUGGAGCCUGCCUUUCACCUCCCAAGUCCGUUUUGGUUGACUUCAUCGUGUCUGGAACAAACUGUCUAUUUCACAAGAUCAUUGUAAUAAGGAAUUUAAGUGAAAUUCCCCUGCAAGUUUCCUUGAACUCUCAGAGGAAAACAGAAUGUAAGUCUAAUAACUCAUCAUCCAUCUUCUGG